Molecule: ribosomal RNA, 492 nt
Filed under: uncultured bacterium
Lineage: Bacteria
Description: partial 16S ribosomal RNA
Rfam family: Bacterial small subunit ribosomal RNA
Source: RNAcentral
AGUGAACGCUGGCGGUAGGCCUAACACAUGCAAGUCGAACGGCAGCACAGUAAGAGCUUGCUCUUACGGGUGGCGAGUGGCGGACGGGUGAGGAAUACAUCGGAAGCUACUUUUUCGUGGGGGAUAACGUAGGGAAACUUACGCUAAUACCGCAGACGACCUACGGGUGAAAUCAGGGGAGCUUCGGACCUUGCGCGAUUGAAUGAGCCGAUGUCGGCUUAGCUAGUUGGCGGGGUAAAGGCCCACCAAGGCCACGAUCCGUAGCUGGUCUGAGAGGAUGAUCAGCCACACUGGAACUGAGACACGGUCCAGACUCCUACGGGAGGCAGCAGUGGGGAAUAUUGGACAAUGGACGCAAGCCUGAUCCAGCAAUACCGCGUGAGUGAAGAAGGCCUUCGGGUUGUAAAGCCCUUUUGUUAGGAAAGAAAAGCAGCAGGUUAAUACCCCGCUGUUCUGACGGUACCCAAAGAAUAAGCACCGGCUAACUUCGUG